GAGUGAUGUGAGUGUUUUUCAUUUUGGUUUAUGGGAUGAAUCAAAAGGGUCUAGAAUUUGCAAUCACUUAGGAAUGGGGUAGAAUGAAGAGGAUGGAUCCAUGUAUGCAUGAAUUGCUCCUAGUCUUAGAUAAAUUUUGCAUAAUGAUCAAGCUCUUUGAUUCUUGAGUGUUUGCCACCUUAAAAUGAUUGCAUUGAACCCUCCUCUUCAUCCAUAUUAGACCAUUUGAUCACCUAGCCAAAUGAUUGAGAUCAUGUGCCCAUCUCUGAGAAUUCACCUUGUGUGUAUGUGUGAAUCAAUGUGAGGGUUGGUGGAGAGAGCAUGUUGGUUGAAAAGCAUUGCAUCUUGUAUAGAGACAUAAGAGUAGUUAUAGGCCUAGAGAAGCUAGAUUAUAAUAAGAGAGUGUGUUCAUGCUAUUUGCUAUGUUUCUUUAGGAUGUCAAGUUGAGU
This 449-nucleotide long non-coding RNA is filed under the name Brassica napus (rape). Its description in RNAcentral is "long non-coding RNA (BNAP_LNC018059)". The record is from RNAcentral. Lineage: Eukaryota; Viridiplantae; Streptophyta; Magnoliopsida; Brassicales; Brassicaceae.